AUGAAGGCAGAAGCUGGAAUUAAGGUUGCUAAGCAGCUGAUCUGAAUAUAGAGAAAUUAUUCUGGUUUAUCCAAGUGGUCCCAAUACAAUGACAAGGGUCCUUAAAAGGGGGAGAUGGAGGUAGAAGAAUCAGAAGGAUACGUGACUAAGAAUGGUCAGAGAUAUGCAACAUUGCUUUCUUUGAAUAUGGAGAAAGAGAGCCACAAGCCAAAGAAUGCAGGCAUCAUCUAGGAGCCGGAAAAGGCAAGGAAACAGAUUCACCCCUAUGGCUUCCAGGAGGAAUGCAGACCUGCUGACACCUUGAUUUAAGCCCAUAUGUGGGCCACCAGCACAGCAUGGAUGCUAACAGAGUGGUGUAGUCCACACCUGGGAACCAAAUCCAGGCCACUGAAGCAGAGUGUGCUGAACUUAACCACUAGCAUGGCUUGAUGAGCAGUAUAGGUCCACACCUGGGAUCCGAACCUGCAAACCUGGGCAGUCGAAGCAGAGCAUGCCAGACUUAACUACUGUGCCAUCAGGCCAGCCCCUACCCACUCUUUUAAUUGGAUUUUUUAUUUUCUUAUUUUUGAGCUUUAAGAGUUCUUUAUAUAUUUUGGAUAACAAUCCUCUAUCAGAUAUACCUCUUAAAAUGUUUUCUUAUGGUCUGUGGCUUGUCUUAUCAUUCUCUUGACAUUGUCUAUCUCCGAGGAGGAGUUUUUAAUCUUAAUCAUAUUUAGCUUAUCAAUUACUUUUUAUGAAUUGUGCCUUUGGUGUUUUGUCUAAAAAGUCAUCACCAUACUGAAGGUCACCGAGAUUUUCUCCUAUGUUAUCUUCUAAGAGGCUUAUAGUUUUGUGUUUUACAUUUAGGUCUCUGAUUAUUUUGAGUUAAUUUUUGUGAAGGGUGUAAGAUCUAUGUCUAGUUCCACUUUUUUCUUAUAUAGAUUUCCAGUUAUCCAAGCACCAUUUGUGGAAAAAACUUAAAUUUACUCUAUUGUAUUGCCUUUGCUCCUUUGUGAAAGAUCAGUUGACUGUAUUUGUGGGGGUCUAUUUCUGGGCUCUCUCUUCUGUUCCGCUGAUCUAUUUGUCUAUUCUUUCACCAACACCACACUGUCUUGAUUGCUGUGGCUUUAUAGCAAAUCUUGAAGUCAGCUAGUGUCCAACUUACAACUUUGUUCUUCUCCUUCAAUGUUGUUUCGGCUGUUCUGGGUCUCUUGCCUCUCCAUGUAACCUUUGCAUCAGUUUGUUGUGUCAACACAAAAUAACCUAUAAGCAUUCUAUGGAUAAGAGACAUAAAGUGAGUUUUACUUGAGCCCAAGUGAGGAUGAUAAUCUGGGAAGGCCUUUUCCAGAGAGGAAGAAAGCAUUCAGGAGAAGCAUGGUUUUCAGUAUAGUCUUAUACCUUUUAAAACAAAGAAACAUACAUUAAACACGCCCAGGAUACAUAUUCAUCAAAGUUUCAAAGAAGUUUUCAGUCUAAAAUUGGCAGGUCAACGUGACCCUCAUGCCCAGAAAGGGACUCAUAUAGGCAUUACCAAUAGGGUAUCAGAGGGGAAGUGUGCAUUCUUGUCUUAAGAGAGUGCAUUCUUUACUUGAAUGGUUAAAG
This 1581-nucleotide long non-coding RNA is filed under the name Equus caballus (horse). Its description in RNAcentral is "lncRNA (ENSECAG00000058492.1)". Lineage: Eukaryota; Metazoa; Chordata; Mammalia; Perissodactyla; Equidae. The record is from RNAcentral.